This 465-nucleotide ribosomal RNA is filed under the name Mehelya poensis (Western forest file snake). RNAcentral's name for it is "Gonionotophis poensis (Western forest file snake) partial small subunit ribosomal RNA". It matches the Rfam family "Bacterial large subunit ribosomal RNA", at positions 1929 to 2610 of the family's 2925-position model. The record is from RNAcentral. Lineage: Eukaryota; Metazoa; Chordata; Lepidosauria; Squamata; Lamprophiidae.
GGCCGCGGUACCCUAACCGUGCAAAGGUAGCGUAAUCACCUGUCUAUUAAUUGUAGACCCGUAUGAAUGGCAAAAUGAGGAUCUAACUGUCUCUUAUAGUAAGUCAAUUAAACUGAUCUCCCAGUCCAAAAGCUGGAAUACUAACAUAAGACCAGAAGACCCUGUGAAGCUUAAACUAAACUAUUAAAACAUAUAAUACCUCCUUUCGGUUGGGGCGACCUUGGAAACAAAAAGAACUUCCACAUACACGUGACAUUCACGAUAUCACAGGCAAACAAGCCAAAAAAGACCCAGCACAGCUGAUUAUUGAACCAAGUUACUCCAGGGAUAACAGCGCCAUCUUCUUCAAGAGCCCAUAUCAAAAAGAAGGUUUACGACCUCGAUGUUGGAUCAGGACAUCCUAAUGGUGCAGCCGCUAUUAAGGGUUCGUUUGUUCAACGAUUAACAGUCCCACGUGAUCUGAGU